GACGAACGCUGGCGGCGUGCUUAACACAUGCAAGUCGAACGGAAAGGCCCUGCUUUUGUGGGGUGCUCGAGUGGCGAACGGGUGAGUAACACGUGAGUAACCUGCCCUUGACUUUGGGAUAACUUCAGGAAACUGGGGCUAAUACCGGAUAGGAGCUCCUGCUGCAUGGUGGGGGUUGGAAAGUUUCGGCGGUUGGGGAUGGACUCGCGGCUUAUCAGCUUGUUGGUGGGGUAGUGGCUUACCAAGGCAUUGACGGGUAGCCGGCCUGGGAGGGUGACCGGCCACAUUGGGACUGAGAGACGGCCCAGACUCCUACGGGAGGCAGCAGUGGGGAAUAUUGCACAAUGGGCGGAAGCCUGAUGCAGCAACGCCGCGUUCGGGAUGACGGCCUUCGGGUUGUAAACCGCUUUCGCCUGUGACGAAGCGGGAGUGACGGUAAUGGGUAAAGAAGCACCGGCUAACUACGUG
This 468-nucleotide ribosomal RNA is filed under the name uncultured bacterium. Its description in RNAcentral is "partial 16S ribosomal RNA". It matches the Rfam family "Bacterial small subunit ribosomal RNA", at positions 28 to 507 of the family's 1533-position model. The record is from RNAcentral.